GAUGAACGCUGGCGGCGUGCCUAAUACAUGCAAGUCGAGCGAACAGACGAGGAGCUUGCUCCUCUGACGUUAGCGGCGGACGGGUGAGUAACACGUGGAUAACCUACCUAUAAGAGUGGGAUAACCUCGGGAAACCGGCGCAAAUACCGGAUAAUAUAUUGAACCGCAUGGUUCAAUAGUGAAAGACGGUUUUGCUGUAACUUAUAGAUGGAUCCGCGCCUCAUUAGCUAGUUGGUAAGGUAACGGCUUACCAAGGCAACGAUGCGUAGCCGACCUGGGAGGGGGAUCGGCCACACUGGAACUGAGACACGCUCCAGACUCCUACGGGAGGCAGCAGUAUGGAAUCUUCCGCAGUGGUCGAGAGCCUGACGGAGCAACGCCGCGUGAGUGAUGGAGGUCUUCGGAUCGUAAAACUCUGUUAUUAGUGAAGAACAAAUGUGUAAGGAACUAUGCACUUCUUGACGGUACCGAGUCAGAAAGCCACGGCUAACUACGUG
This 497-nucleotide ribosomal RNA is filed under the name uncultured bacterium. RNAcentral describes it as "partial 16S ribosomal RNA". It matches the Rfam family "Bacterial small subunit ribosomal RNA", at positions 28 to 507 of the family's 1533-position model. The record is from RNAcentral.